Molecule: RNA transcript, 890 nt
Organism: Hibiscus syriacus
Lineage: Eukaryota; Viridiplantae; Streptophyta; Magnoliopsida; Malvales; Malvaceae
Gene name: 50S ribosomal protein HLP, mitochondrial-like
Exons: 4
Source: RefSeq, a predicted model, not a curated record
CCAAACCCAAUAGCUUCCUCAUUCUCUCAAGUCCCAAGUUCCUAGGGUUCUAACUUUUUCAUUUUCCUUUUUGCUUUGUGAAGGUUGGGGAAUUAAGAAGAUGGCUGCAAGCUUUGCUUCCAGAUGCUUUAGGGUGGGCCGCUCGUUGAUGGAUGGCCUUCAAAACAACUUCUCUAAUUUACCAAGCACAUCAAGAGAGAUGAUAUGUGGAAGUUUCCUGUAUCAGCAACAAAGGACUUUUAUACAGAUGAGAACUGUUCUCAAAGUAGUGGACAACUCCGGGGCAAAAAAGGUGAUGUGCAUACAACCAUUGAAGGGGAAGAAAGGGGCAAGAUUGGGAGACACCAUAAUUGCAUCUGUAAAAGAGGCCAUGCCUAAUGGAAAGGUGAAGAAAGGGAAGGUGGUAUAUGGUGUGGUUGUGCGUGCUGCCAUGCAGCGAGGUCGUUGUGACGGGAGUGAGGUCAAGUUUGAUGACAAUGCUGUUGUUCUUGUUGACAAGCAAGGCCAGCCGAUAGGGACCAGAGUUUUCGGCCCAGUCCCACAUGAGCUGAGGCAGAAAAAGCAUGUCAAGAUCCUCACUUUGGCAGAGCACAUUGCCUGAAGCAUGGAUCAAGUCCCCGCCAAACAUUUGAGUUUUUUAGCUGCCCUAGCAUUUAGAUGUUUUUAUGUUGUCCCGAAAACAGAAAAAUACAGAAAGAGGCAAGAUGAAUCUGUCGUUUUUUCCCUUUUCCGAUCGUAGACAACGAUGUGUAGCUGUUUGCCUGAUUUUCAAUGGGAAUGCAACAUAUCUGAUCAGACAAAGUUGCAUUCAUGGUCUCGUGCUGUUUUCACCUGGUUGAAUGAUUAGGAAAUCCUCACAAGAGUUUCUUUGUAGAAACGAAAGAAAUUAU